CCUACGGGAGGCAGCAGUGAGGAAUAUUGGUCAAUGGGCGAGAGCCUGAACCAGCCAAGUCGCGUGAGGGAGUACUGCCCUAUGGGUUGUAAACCUCUUUUGUCGGGGAGCAAAAGCCGGACGUGUCCGGCUGUGAGAGUACACGAAGAGAAAGCAUAGGCUAACUCCGUGCCAGCAGCCGCGGUAAUACGGAGGAUGCGAGCGUUAUCCGGAUUUAUUGGGUUUAAAGGGUGCGCAGGCGGAUUGUUAAGUCAGCGGUAAAAUCGUGGGGCUCAACCCCAUCCAGCCGUUGAAACUGGGGAUCUAGAGUGUGCGAGAGGUAUGCGGAAUGCGUGGUGUAGCGGUGAAAUGCAUAGAUAUCACGCAGAACCCCGAUUGCGAAGGCAGCAUACCGGUGCACAACUGACGCUCAGGCACGAAAGCGUGGGUAUCGAACAGGAUUAGAUACCCGGGUAGUC
Molecule: ribosomal RNA, 458 nt
Filed under: uncultured bacterium
Lineage: Bacteria
Description: partial 16S ribosomal RNA
Rfam family: Bacterial small subunit ribosomal RNA
Source: RNAcentral